UGGGGUGCUCGAGUGGCGAACGGGUGAGUAACACGUGAGUAACCCGCCCUUGACUUUGGGAUAACUUCAGGAAACUGGGGCUAAUACCGGAUAGGAGCUCCUGCUGCAUGGUGGGGGUUGGAAAGUUUCGGCGGUUGGGGAUGGACUCGCGGCUUAUCAGCUUGUUGGUGGGGUAGUGGCUUACCAAGGCUUUGACGGGUAGCCGGCCUGAGAGGGUGACCGGCCACAUUGGGACUGAGAUACGGCCCAG
RNAcentral lists this ribosomal RNA (250 nucleotides) under uncultured Actinomycetales bacterium. RNAcentral's name for it is "partial 16S ribosomal RNA". It matches the Rfam family "Bacterial small subunit ribosomal RNA", at positions 83 to 334 of the family's 1533-position model. Lineage: Bacteria; Bacillati; Actinomycetota; Actinomycetes; Actinomycetales. The record is from RNAcentral.